Molecule: transfer RNA, 75 nt
Filed under: Lentisphaerae bacterium GWF2_52_8
Lineage: Bacteria; Pseudomonadati; Lentisphaerota
Description: tRNA-Gly
Rfam family: tRNA
About the family: Transfer RNA (tRNA) molecules are approximately 80 nucleotides in length. Their secondary structure includes four short double-helical elements and three loops (D, anti-codon, and T loops). Further hydrogen bonds mediate the characteristic L-shaped molecular structure. tRNAs have two regions of fundamental functional importance: the anti-codon, which is responsible for specific mRNA codon recognition, and the 3' end, to which the tRNAs corresponding amino acid is attached (by aminoacyl-tRNA synthetases). tRNAs cope with the degeneracy of the genetic code in two manners: having more than one tRNA (with a specific anti-codon) for a particular amino acid; and 'wobble' base-pairing, i.e. permitting non-standard base-pairing at the 3rd anti-codon position.
Source: RNAcentral
GCGAGCGUAGCUCAGUGGUAGAGCGUCACGUUGCCAACGUGGCUGUCGUGGGUUCGAUCCCCAUCGCUCGCUCCA